Long non-coding RNA from Cryptomeria japonica (Japanese cedar), 655 nucleotides. RefSeq lists it as uncharacterized. The transcript has 2 exons. The record is from RefSeq and is a predicted model, not a curated record. Lineage: Eukaryota; Viridiplantae; Streptophyta; Pinopsida; Cupressales; Cupressaceae.
UCCUGUAUGACAUAUUUUAUUAUUUAUCUUGAAAAUUUGCUUUACGAUUUCUUGCUCUUAAAGAAAACUAUGACAGCUCUCUUCUGUAAUCUCUGCCUCUUCUUUCAUAGAUUCUUCUAUGGUGUCCCUUUGGGAUUUUUCAUUUUGCUUAGAAGUCUCUUGUUUCUUUGAUGAGCUCUCUUCUGUUGUUUCUACAACCUCAACAGAGUCUUUUCUACACAAAAAGAAAUGCUGGAGGCACUGUUAACCAGAGCAACAAAAACUCGAGAGGAACAAGAUUCUCAAGGAAGAUCUACGAACUCCACAGAUGAUGUUGGACUUCUUGUUGGCGGAAGAUCUCAGCAUUCAAAAGCAAGACAAAUGACAGUAUAUCUACCUUGAUUAUAAUUUCUUGUUACUGGUUUUCUUGUUUUGAGUGUUACAGGUUUUCUUGUUUUGAGUGUUACUUGUUUUCUUUUAAUUUCUUGUUACUGGUUUUCUUGUUUUGGAUUCAAUCUGGACUACUGCGCUAUCCAUGCGCUUCUUUCUUUGUAAGCAUGGUUAACACUGUCAUUUUUGGGGUUCCUUCCUCUGCAAGCGACUUGAAAGGGUCAUCUAGUCUCGCAUGUAAUUAUACCUUAUUUUAAAUUGAAGAUAUUGGGAGUUGACAUGGUCA